RNAcentral lists this ribosomal RNA (469 nucleotides) under uncultured bacterium. RNAcentral's name for it is "partial 16S ribosomal RNA". It matches the Rfam family "Bacterial small subunit ribosomal RNA", at positions 28 to 507 of the family's 1533-position model. The record is from RNAcentral.
GACGAACGCUGGCGGCGUGCUUAACACAUGCAAGUCGAACGGAAAGGCCCUGCUUGCGGGGUGCUCGCGUGGCGAACGGGUGAGUAACACGUGGGUGAUCUGCCCCUUACUUUGGGAUAAGCCUGGUAAACUGUGUCUAAUACUGGAUAGGACCAUGCUGUAGGUGGGGUGGUGGAAAGAUUAGUUUCGGUGAGGGGGGAGCUCGCGGCCUAUCAGCUUGUUGGUGGGGUAAUGGCCUACCAAGGCGUCGUCGGGUAGCCGGCCGGAGAGGGGGGACGGCGACAUUGGGGCUGAGAUGCUGCGCAGACGCCUACGGGAGGCAGCAGUAGGGAGGAUUGUAGAAUGGUCGCAAGCCUGAUGCUGCGACGCCGCGUGGUGGGUGACGGCGGUCUGGGUGUAAACUCCUGUCUGCCAUGGCGAAGACCUGGUAGUGACGGUAGUGGGAGAAGAAGCACCGGCUAACUACGUG